GGAUGAACGCUGGCGGCGUGCUUAACACAUGCAAGUCGAACGGAAAGGCCGAAGCUUGCUUCGGUACUCGAGUGGCGAACGGGUGAGUAACACGUGGGUGAUCUGCCCUGUACUUCGGGAUAAGCUUGGGAAACUGGGUCUAAUACCGGAUAUGACAAUCUCUUGGAUGGGGUUGUGGAAAGCUUUUGCGGUAUGGGAUGAGCUCGCGGCCUAUCAGCUUGUUGGUGGGGUAAUGGCCUACCAAGGCGUCGACGGGUAGCCGGCCUGAGAGGGUGUACGGCCACAUUGGGACUGAGAUACGGCCCAGACUCCUACGGGAGGCAGCAGUGGGGAAUAUUGCACAAUGGGCGCAAGCCUGAUGCAGCGACGCCGCGUGGGGGAUGACGGCCUUCGGGUUGUAAACUCCUUUCGCAACCGACGAAGCUUUUUGUGACGGUAGGUUGAGAAGAAGCACCGGCUAACUACGUG
Molecule: ribosomal RNA, 468 nt
Filed under: uncultured bacterium
Lineage: Bacteria
Description: partial 16S ribosomal RNA
Rfam family: Bacterial small subunit ribosomal RNA
Source: RNAcentral